This 414-nucleotide ribosomal RNA is filed under the name uncultured Methanomicrobiales archaeon. RNAcentral describes it as "bacterial SSU rRNA". It matches the Rfam family "Archaeal small subunit ribosomal RNA", at positions 928 to 1338 of the family's 1478-position model. The record is from RNAcentral. Lineage: Archaea; Methanobacteriati; Methanobacteriota; Methanomicrobia; Methanomicrobiales.
CACCAGAUAAGACAGCUGAAUGAUAGUCGGGGCCUGAAGACUCUACUUGACUAGCUGAGAGGAGGUGCAUGGCCGUCGUCAGUUCGUACUGUGAAGCAUCCUGUUAAGUCAGGCAACGAGCGAGACCCACGCCAACAGUUGCCAGCUCGUCCUCCGGGAUGGUGGGGACACUGUUGGGACCGCCUCUGCUAAGGAGGAGGAAGGAAUGGGCAACGGUAGGUCAGCAUGCCCCGAAUUAUCUGGGCUACACGCGGGCUACAAUGGGUGGGACAAUGGGUAUCGACACCGAAAGGUGAAGGCAAUCUCCUAAACCCAUCCGUAGUUCGGAUUGAGGGCUGCAACUCGCCCUCAUGAAGCUGGAAUCCGUAGUAAUCGCGUUUCAACAGAACGCGGUGAAUACCGUCCCUGCUCCUU